CCUACGGGUGGCAGCAGUGAGGAAUAUUGGUCAAUGGACGAGAGUCUGAACCAGCCAAGUAGCGUGAAGGAUGACUGCCCUAUGGGUUGUAAACUUCUUUUAUAUGGGAAUAAAAUGUUCCACGUGUGGGAUUUUGUAUGUACCAUAUGAAUAAGGAUCGGCUAACUCCGUGCCAGCAGCCGCGGUAAUACGGAGGAUCCGAGCGUUAUCCGGAUUUAUUGGGUUUAAAGGGGGCGUAGGUGGAUUGUUAAGUCAGUUGUGAAAGUUCGCGGCUCAACCGUAAAAUUGCAGUUGAAACUGGCAGUCUCGAGUAGAGGAGAGGUGGGCGGAAUGCGUGGUGUAGCGGUGAAAUGCUUAGAUAUCGCGAAGAACUCCGAUUGCGAAGGCAGCUCACUGGACUGCAACUGACACUGAGGCUCGAAAGUGUGGGUAUCGAACAGGAUUAGAUACCCGAGUAGUC
This 460-nucleotide ribosomal RNA is filed under the name uncultured bacterium. RNAcentral's name for it is "partial 16S ribosomal RNA". It matches the Rfam family "Bacterial small subunit ribosomal RNA", at positions 338 to 795 of the family's 1533-position model. The record is from RNAcentral.